Molecule: ribosomal RNA, 119 nt
Organism: Lepisosteus oculatus (spotted gar)
Lineage: Eukaryota; Metazoa; Chordata; Actinopteri; Semionotiformes; Lepisosteidae
Source: Ensembl
GCUAGCAGCCAUAUCACCCUGCAACUCACAACUGGUAACCCGCUGACGCUAAGCAGGUGUGAGCCUGGUCAGUACCUGGAUGGGAGACCUCCUGGGAAAAACUAGGGUUGCUGCUGGAA